This 393-nucleotide ribosomal RNA is filed under the name uncultured bacterium. Its description in RNAcentral is "partial 16S ribosomal RNA". It matches the Rfam family "Bacterial small subunit ribosomal RNA", at positions 523 to 918 of the family's 1533-position model. The record is from RNAcentral.
AUACGGAGGACGCGAGCGUUAUCCGGAUUCAUUGGGUUUAAAGGGUGCGCAGGCGGCCGUGCAAGUCAGCGGUGAAAGCCCGGGGCUCAACCCCGGAAGUGCCGUUGAUACUGCAUGGCUGGAAUGCGGUCGAGGCGGGCGGAACGUGGCGCGUAGCGGUGAAAUGCGUAGAUAUGCCCCAGAACACCGAUAGCGGGGGAGGCUCGCCAGUCCUGCAUGGAGGCGCGGGCACGAAAGCGGGGGGAUCGAGCAGGAUUAGAUACCCUGGUAGUCCACGCCGUAAACGAUGGGCGCUCGUCGUCGGCGGCAGACAGUCGGCGGCCAAGCGAAAGCGAUAAGUUAUCCACCUGGGGAGUACGACCGCAAGGUUGAAACUCAAAUGAAUUGACGGGG